GUGAAAACCAGCCCAUAUAUAGUGGGCUAAUGGGCCAAGCCUAACGUGGCCGGCCCAUCUGGAGUCCCUGAUCACCAGCUGAGGCGGUUACAACCGCCUGACAGCCACGAUCACCACCACCACCCUCCUCUCUUCCGACCAAGAGCUAUAAAAGCUCAGGGAUUCCUCAGCGAGGGACUCAGUAGAUCACCCUCUCACCGCCCUCACUCCCUCUUUCUUCUGCUACAAAGAACUGAAGCAUGAGUGGUGGC
RNAcentral lists this long non-coding RNA (251 nucleotides) under Phoenix dactylifera (date palm). Its description in RNAcentral is "long non-coding RNA (PDAC_LNC004508)". The record is from RNAcentral. Lineage: Eukaryota; Viridiplantae; Streptophyta; Magnoliopsida; Arecales; Arecaceae.